GUCUACAGUCAUGCCACUCUGAACACACCCGAUCUAGUCUGAUCUCGGAAGCUAACCAGGGUCGGGCCUGGUUAGUACUUGGAUGGGAGACCACCUAGGAAGAUCAGGUGCUGUAGGCA
Molecule: non-coding RNA, 119 nt
Organism: Pteropus alecto (black flying fox)
Lineage: Eukaryota; Metazoa; Chordata; Mammalia; Chiroptera; Pteropodidae
Source: Rfam